CUAAGAAUAUUCCGCAAUGGACGGAAGUCUGACGGAGCGACGCCGCGUGGAUGACGAAGGCCGAAAGGUUGUAAAGUUCUUUUGCUGGGGAAGAAUAACCGCAGGAGGGAAUGCCUGUGGGAUGACAAGAACCGGCGAAUAAGCCCCGGCCAACUACGUGCCAGCAGCCGCGGUAACACGUAGGGGGCGAGCGUUGUUCGGAAUUACUGGGCGUAAAGGGCAUGUAGGCGGCUUGGAAAGCCUGGCGUGAAAGUCUGCAGCUUAACUGCAGGGGUGCGCUGGGAACUGCUGAGCUUGAGUGACGGAGAGGGAGCUGGAAUUCCUGGUGUAGGGGUGAAAUCUGUAGAUAUCAGGAAGAACACCGAUGGCGAAGGCAAGCUCCUGGCCGAUGACUGACGCUGAGGUGCGAAAGUGUGGGGAUCAAAACAGGAUUAGAUACCCUGGUAGUCCACACAGUCAACGAUGUGCACUAGGUGCUGGGGCGGUAGCUUCGGUGCCGGAGCGAACGUGGUAAGUGCACCGCCUGGGGAGUAUGCUCGCAAGGGUGAAACUUAAAUGAAUUGACGGGGUCAUAGC
This 576-nucleotide ribosomal RNA is filed under the name uncultured bacterium. RNAcentral describes it as "partial 16S ribosomal RNA". It matches the Rfam family "Bacterial small subunit ribosomal RNA", at positions 355 to 925 of the family's 1533-position model. The record is from RNAcentral.